This 265-nucleotide ribosomal RNA is filed under the name uncultured prokaryote. Its description in RNAcentral is "partial 16S ribosomal RNA". It matches the Rfam family "Bacterial small subunit ribosomal RNA", at positions 524 to 788 of the family's 1533-position model. The record is from RNAcentral.
UACGGAGGAUCCGAGCGUUAUCCGGAUUUAUUGGGUUUAAAGGGUGCGCAGGCGGGAGAUUAAGUCGGCGGUGAAAUUUUGCAGCUCAACUGUAAAAGUGCCUUCGUAACUGGUUUCCUUGAGUGUGGAUGAAGUAGGCGGAAUUUGUGGUGUAGCGGUGAAAUGCAUAGAUAUCACGAGGAACUCCGAUUGCGCAGGCAGCUUACUAAGCCAUAACUGACGCUCAGGCACGAAGGCGUGGGGAUCAAACAGGAUUAGAUACCCU